GUCCCACGGCCGAAUCCUGACGGACGGGAUCGGGGAUCGGUCCCACAGCCGCAUCCUGAGGGACGGGAUCGGGGAUCGGUCCCACAGCCGCAUCCUGACGGACGGGAUCGGGGAUCGGUCCCACAGCCGCAUCCUGAGGGACGGGAUCGGGGAUCGGUCCCACAGCCGCGUCCUGAGGGACGGGAUCGGGGAUCGGUCCCACAGCCGCGUCCUGAGGGACGGGAUCGGGGAUUGAUCCCACAGCCGCAUCCUGAGGGACGGGAUCGGUCCUAACGGGCACAUCCUGAGGGACCGGGACAGGAAACUUCACGACUCUCUAAGCAGCUGUUCCAGUGCUCUCCCACCAUCCAUGGAAAGUUCUUUGGGAAGUGAUGGGACCUGGACAGGUGUUCCUCAAAAGCACGAGCAGGGAAAGGGAAAAACGGGACAGUCUCCCUGUCGUGGUGCGAGCCCUUGAAAGUGGAACCCACUUGCGGGCAGAAUGUGAGAGGUUGGCACUGUCAGCAGUUCUGAUGUCUCCCGUGCUGGAAACACACACAGAGCACAGCUGCGGAAUGGAGGGGUUGGCUCAGGUUUUAGCUGAUGUUGGAAGCCUCAUGCUGCAUUUUUAAUUACUGAAGGUAUGAAGUCACUGUUUACCAGCUUAUUAUGGACUCCCUUAUUCAUCCCAGAAAUGGAACCAAGGCAUUACUCACAGGAAGGGCUCUGGUGCUUGUAGGGAAUCCCAACAGCGGGAUCACUUUACACUUACACAUUAUUGAGAAUGGGGUUUUUUGUCCCUCUGUCAACAGAACUUCCCCACAGCAAGCAGAUUUGUCAGCAUGGAGUGGAAUUCCUCCCUCCUAAAUCCCAGGUUCCUGCUUGUCUGCUGGGGCUGGGAUGUGGCCUUGCACACAUCCAGAGGCUUGCUCUUCUUAGAUCCAGCUUUGCUCAGAUUUUAUCCAUAUUUUUGUUGUAAAGAAAAUGUUUCCUUACAAUAUAAAAUCAAUAUAAUAUAAUAUAAUAUAAUAUAAUAUAAUAUAAUAUAAUAUAAUAUAAUAUAAUAUAAUAUAAUAUAAUAUAAUAUAAUAUAAUAUAAUAUAAUAUAAUAUAAUAUAAUAUAAUAUAAUAUAAUAUAAUAUAAUAUAAUAUAAAUAUGAUAUAAUAUAAUAUAAUAUAAUAUAUCAUAUCAUAUCAUAUCAUAUCAUAUCAUAUAUAUUAAAUAAUAUAAUCCUUAAAAUAUAAAAUCAUCGGUGGCCUUCAGCACA
RNAcentral lists this long non-coding RNA (1247 nucleotides) under Cyanistes caeruleus (blue tit). RNAcentral's name for it is "lncRNA (ENSCCEG00000008245.1)". Lineage: Eukaryota; Metazoa; Chordata; Aves; Passeriformes; Paridae. The record is from RNAcentral.